GUACUCCGGGGAUAACAGGCUGAUACCGCCCAAGAGUUCAUAUCGACGGCGGUGUUUGGCACCUCGAUGUCGGCUCAUCACAUCCUGGGGCUGAAGUAGGUCCCAAGGGUAUGGCUGUUCGCCAUUUAAAGUGGUACGCGAGCUGGGUUUAGAACGUCGUGAGACAGUUCGGUCCCUAUCUGCCGUGGGCGCUGGAGAACUGAGGGGGGCUGCUCCUAGUACGAGAGGACCGGAGUGGACGCAUCACUGGUGUUCGGGUUGUCAUGCCAAUGGCACUGCCCGGUAGCUAAAUGCGGAAGAGAUAAGUGCUGAAAGCAUCUAAGCACGAAACUUGCCCCGAGAUGAGUUCUCCCUGACCCUUUAA
Molecule: ribosomal RNA, 364 nt
Filed under: Escherichia coli
Lineage: Bacteria; Pseudomonadati; Pseudomonadota; Gammaproteobacteria; Enterobacterales; Enterobacteriaceae
Also listed under: 2 other names
Description: partial 23S ribosomal RNA
Rfam family: Bacterial large subunit ribosomal RNA
Source: RNAcentral